AUUGAACGCUGGCGGCAUGCCUUACACAUGCAAGUCGAACGGCAGCACGGGUGCUUGCACCUGGUGGCGAGUGGCGAACGGGUGAGUAAUACAUCGGAACGCACCUUAUCGUGGGGGAUAACGCAGCGAAAGUUGCGCUAAUACCGCAUACGCCCUGAGGGGGAAAGCGGGGGACCGUAAGGCCUCGCGCGAUUAGAGCGGCCGAUGUCUGAUUAGCUUGUUGGGGAGGUAAAAGCUCACCAAGGCGAUGAUCAGUAGCUGGUCUGAGAGGACGAUCAGCCACACUGGGACUGAGACACGGCCCAGACUCCUACGGGAGGCAGCAGUGGGGAAUUUUGGACAAUGAGGGCAACCCUGAUCCAGCAAUGCCGCGUGAGUGAAGAAGGCCUUCGGGUUGUAAAGCUCUUUCGGCAGGAACGAAACGGUACGGGCUAAUACCUCGUGCUAAUGACGGUACCUGAAGAAGAAGCACCGGCUAACUACGUGCCAGCAGCCGCCGUAA
Molecule: ribosomal RNA, 502 nt
Filed under: uncultured bacterium
Lineage: Bacteria
Description: partial 16S ribosomal RNA
Rfam family: Bacterial small subunit ribosomal RNA
Source: RNAcentral